CAGAGUUUACAAAGCUGUGUCAUCUCGAAAGAACAGAAGACAAGAAAUCAACAAUAAUGGCGGACUUGGACACGUCUGAGAAGGCAAAAUUAUUACAGCCUAACGAACCACCACCAUAUCAGGAUCCCUCUCAGUAUCCUAACACUGGAUAUCCUCCUCCAGGGAGCUAUCCCAACACUUCUGGCUAUCAGCAAUAUGGAGCUCCAGUCGGCCCAUACAGCCAAGGGCCUUAUCCUGGACAUCCUGCAGUCGCUGUACAGCCGACGAUUUAUGUGACUGCCACACCGCUAUUCAAUCCACUGCCAGAUUACCUGGGUUACUCCAUUUUUACCAUGCUGUGCUGUUGUUUACCUCUGGGAAUCGCUGCUCUUAUUUAUUCCUUCUCUACUCGGAAUGCCAACAUGUCCGGACACCGACAAGAAGCAGAGAACAGUUCCAGAAUGGCUCUUACCCUCAACAAUGUCGCUCUUGGUAUCGGCCUUACCCUCCUUGUCGUGUAUAUCAUCUGUGUCAUUGUUGUCAACGUCAAUCAUAAAUAAAAUAUUUCCAAAAUUAUGAGACACAUCAUGUUUGGACGAUGAAUACUACCACUAUACAAAUCUCUCUAAUGUAAUUUUUUAAAGCAAAUUUGUUAUUGUGGCUUAAACUCUGAUUAUAGUUAUGAAACUUUCUAAACUACAUUAGUGAAGUGUUUAAUAUGAUUUUAAAUGUUUGAUCUAUUUUAAAGCUUCUCAGCCAUGUCCUGGACCUCCAUAUUAUACGUUUUUAUUAACAAGCCUAUGAGUGUUAGAAAAGGGAAACAUACAAAAAGUAGUGAUGGGGUGAGUUAUACUCGGCAUUGAUCUACUGUAUUUGACAGGCUGAUCAUAAUAACUGACUUAAAAUGAACAUGUAUAUGCUUUAAAAUGGAAUUAUUAUAUUCUUUAAAUCAAUGGAAGUUGUGAUUAUUAAAGUAAAUGUAUUAUGCUGUUGUACAGCUUGCUUUUGACUAUAGGUUAAAUAAAAUGUUAAACCACUGAA
Paramisgurnus dabryanus is the source of this 1020-nucleotide long non-coding RNA. RefSeq lists it as uncharacterized. The record is from RefSeq and is a predicted model, not a curated record. NCBI's taxonomy places the organism in Eukaryota, Metazoa, Chordata, Actinopteri, Cypriniformes, Cobitidae.